RNAcentral lists this ribosomal RNA (431 nucleotides) under uncultured bacterium. RNAcentral describes it as "partial 16S ribosomal RNA". It matches the Rfam family "Bacterial small subunit ribosomal RNA", at positions 29 to 507 of the family's 1533-position model. The record is from RNAcentral.
AACGAACGCUGGCGGCAGGCCUAACACAUGCAAGUCGAGCGCCCUUUCGGGGGAGCGGCGGACGGGUGAGUAACGCGUGGGAAUAUGCCCUUCUCUACGGAAUAGCCUCGGGAAACUGAGAGUAAUACCGUAUACGCCCUGUGGUGGAAAGAUUUAUCGGGGAAGGAUUAGCCCGCGUUGGAUUAGGUAGUUGGUGGGGUAAUGGCCUACCAAGCCGACGAUCCAUAGCUGGUUUGAGAGGAUGAUCAGCCACACUGGGACUGAGACACGGCCCAGACUCCUACGGGAGGCAGCAGUGGGGAAUCUUAGACAAUGGGGGCAACCCUGAUCUAGCCAUGCCGCGUGAGUGAUGAAGGCCUUAGGGUUGUAAAGCUCUUUCAGCUGGGAAGAUAAUGACGGUACCAGCAGAAGAAGCCCCGGCUAACUCCGUG